Molecule: ribosomal RNA, 253 nt
Filed under: uncultured bacterium
Lineage: Bacteria
Description: partial 16S ribosomal RNA
Rfam family: Bacterial small subunit ribosomal RNA
Source: RNAcentral
UACGUAGGUGGCAAGCAUUAUCCGGAUUUACUGGGUGUAAAGGGCGUGUAGGCGGGACUGCAAGUCAGAUGUGAGACCCAUGGGCUCAACCCAUGGCCUGCAUUUGAAACUGUAGUUCUUGAGUGAUGGAGAGGCAGGCGGAAUUCCGUGUGUAGCGGUGAAAUGCGUAGAUAUACGGAGGAACACCAGUGGCGAAGGCGGCCUGCUGGACAUUAACUGACGCUGAGGCGCGAAAGCGUGGGGAGCAAACAGG